GAUGAACGCUGGCGGUAUGCCUAACACAUGCAAGUCGUACGAGAGUUUUUAACUCAAGUGGCGGACGGGUGAGUAACACGUGAGAAUUUACCUUUAGGAGGGGGACAACAACUGGAAACGGUUGCUAAUACCCCAUAUGCUUCCGAGUGAAAUGAAUUUAUUCGCCUAAAGAGAAGCUCGCGGCUGAUUAGCUUGUUGGUAGGGUAAGAGCCUACCAAGGCGACGAUCAGUAUCUGGUUUGAGAGGACGAUCAGACACACUGGAACUGAGACACGGUCCAGACUCCUACGGGAGGCAGCAGUGGGGAAUUUUCCGCAAUGGGCGAAAGCCUGACGGAGCAAUACCGCGUGAGGGAAGACGGCCCAUGGGUUGUAAACCUCUUUUUUCAGGGAGGAAUAAAUGACGUGUACCUGAAGAAUAAGCAUCG
This 427-nucleotide ribosomal RNA is filed under the name uncultured bacterium. Its description in RNAcentral is "bacterial SSU rRNA". It matches the Rfam family "Bacterial small subunit ribosomal RNA", at positions 28 to 495 of the family's 1533-position model. The record is from RNAcentral.